RNAcentral lists this long non-coding RNA (213 nucleotides) under Linum usitatissimum (flax). Its description in RNAcentral is "long non-coding RNA (LUSI_LNC003881)". The record is from RNAcentral. Lineage: Eukaryota; Viridiplantae; Streptophyta; Magnoliopsida; Malpighiales; Linaceae.
AAUAGAGAGUGUAGAGUUGGUGAGAGAGUGUUUUGAAGUUGUGUUAGUUACGUAAAGUUAAUAAGAGUUGUUAUCUUUGUUCGUUUUUAAAAUUAGUAAUUUAUAUCCAUUUUAUUUGGUGGUGUGCGGUUGAAGUGAUGAAACGAUGAGAAGUUAAUCCACAUUCCAUCCAUACAUCAACAUCCACGAUACAUGUUCAUAGCUUUUCGUUGG